Salvelinus fontinalis (brook trout) is the source of this 5062-nucleotide long non-coding RNA. RefSeq lists it as uncharacterized. The transcript is spliced from 3 exons. The record is from RefSeq and is a predicted model, not a curated record. NCBI's taxonomy places the organism in Eukaryota, Metazoa, Chordata, Actinopteri, Salmoniformes, Salmonidae.
UGGAGGGAGAUAUUAUCCUGUUAUCUGAGCAGCAGCCUUGGUGGUGUACCCAGGAAUCUUUGCAUUGUUUUUCAAUAUGAUGAAACCGCAUCAAAGACUGAGACAAUGAUAUGUCCUCCCUGCUGCUUCAUCUCCUCCCACCACCAGCACGAGGGAAGAGGACCAAGAUCAGUGCCAGUGCUUGUACACUUUCAUAAGUCAUGCUGCAGCAUUGAAGACCAUCUUGAAUGGAGCCAUGGUCGACAGCCAUACCUCCUUGCCGUCGCAAGAAGACAGAGCAAGAUUGCCAACUACUACAUCGUGGUGGACAAGAGGCUUGUUCCCUGCCAGGAAAUUAGUGGUCUGAGUGGUUUUGAUGAACUGUUCAAAGCCCACUUUGUCUUUAACCUGACGUAUGAUGAUGCUCUUGUCAACUUCUGCACAUUAGUGCAGACAACCAUCUACAACGUUGAUGUAGGCAAAACAAGAGAGGCCCCUAGCUUGAUAGAGUUGAGGACAUAACUUCUUAACUAGAUAAAUGUAUGUUACGGUGCUUUUGUUGUCAAGCGUUGCACAGAAACAGACAGUCAUUGAUAUCUCAUUUGAGAAUUGAGCAUAGCUUCUAUCCCUGCACAAAGUUUAGAUUGGUCUGAACUCAAGAUGUUUGUAGAUGGCAGUUUUCAACAUUCUCAGUUUAUUUUGUUUUAUAGUAUUCAUAAGGAUAUUAGUCAAGUAGUUGAUGCAUUAAGCUUAGAAGGGCUCUCUCAUGUUGCUGAUACUCCUGUCCAGUCAGAAGCUCCACAAAUGGGUGGUGACAUUGGUGUCCCACAUGAUAACACUCAAAGUGAUUGUUUUGAGAAGAAUGGAAAGUCUUGAUAAAGAUAUGUUUCUCCAUCAUUGCCAAAUAGCAAGCUAGUGGUGUUGCAAAUAGUGUUGUGUCAACAGUAGUGUGUGAUUUAGAAAAGCUUACUACUGGGCUGCACUCCCAGAUUAAACAAAAUCUGUCAGUUACACCUAUGGAUAACCCCUCCCCUCUAUCUGCUGUAAAUUAUAGUUUUGAGAACUUUGAAAACCCGUUUGCCAGUUUUAACACAGAAACCAAGAGAACAAAGUACUUCAACCAAAAAUGGGGUGUUGUGGAGCCAGUAAAGUAGUGUUGGGAGUUAGAUUUGAUAGCAGGCGAAAUACACAAAUAUGCAUGUAUGAUCAAGUCCUAGUGAAAAACAUUUUAGUAUAUAUUCCUAUUCUGGAAACAUUGACGUUCAUCUGACGCAAUUCUGAAAUCUGCAUGUUAUUGGAAAAUGCACCAAGAAAUGCAUUCUGUGUGUCACGACUUCCUCUCCUUGUUCGAGCGGCGUUUGGCGGUCGACGUCACCGGUCUUCUAGCCAUCGCCGAUCCACCUUUCAUUUUCCAUUUGUUUUGUCUUGUUUUCCCGCACACCUGGUUUACUUUCCCUCAUUACUUGACGUGCAUAUAACCCUCUGUUCCCUCCAUGUGUCACGUUCCUGACCUGUUUUCUGUUGUUUGGUAUGUGUUUAAUUGGUCAGGGCGUGAGUUUUGGGUGGGUAGUCUAUGUUAUGUGUUUUCUAUGUUGGGUUAAUGGGUUGCCUGGUAUGGCUCUCAAUUAGAGGCAGGUGUUUGGCGUUUCCUCUAAGCCGUCACCAAGACCGCAGAGAGUCAUAUUAAUAUGAGAGUCAUAUUAAGGUAGGUUGUUUCACAUUGUUUGUUGUGGGUGGUUGUCUUCCGUGUCAGUACAUGUUACCACACGGGACUGUUUCGGCUUGUCUGUUUCCUGUCUCUGUGAUUGUCUGCACCAGAUAGGUCUGUGUCGGUUUUUGCACAUUUGUUAUUUUGUAUUGUUGUUUGUAGUGUUUUACUUGUUCUUUAUUAAACAUGUUUAACACUAGCCGCGCUGCACUUUGGUCCUCUCCUUCACCCCUGGAAGAAAACCGUUACACCAUGUCUGUGUGUGGAAUUGUUUGUUGUAAAGUGUUUGUGCACUUCAGACUGGUUUGCUACAGUUGAUUUCAACCUGUAUUUUGUUGUUCUGGGUGCAGUUUGUUUUUCUCAUUAAACUGCUCCGGUUGUUACCCAGUUCUGCUCUCCUGCGUGUGACUUCCCUGCAGCCAGAUACGCACCUCUUACACUGUGGAAGACAGUUAUGAAGAAUUUUGUGAUGGAAGUUAUUACCUCUACAGGAUCGAUGUCCCCCUUGCCGGACAGUUGAGCUAAAAUGCGCUAAUGUGAAUAGCAUGACGUUGUAAGUAACAAGAACAUUUCCCAGGACAUAGACAUGUCUUACAUGGGCAGAAAGCUUAAAUUCUUGUUAAUCUAACUGCACUGUCCAAUUUACACUAGCUAUUACAGUGAAAAAAUACCAGGCUAUUGUUUGAGGACAGUGCAUAACAACAACAAAAAAUGUAUCAUGGCAACUGGUUUGAUACAUUCACUUCAGUAAUCUUGUUCUGAUUUGUCAUCAUGAGGGUCCCAGAGAUAAAAUAUAGCAUUGUUUUUGAUCAAAUCAGUUUUUAUAUUCAAAUAUAGGAACUGGGUUCUACAGUUUGAACGCCUGCUGUGUCUGCCCCCCUCCCCCUCCCAUCUAGGUGUGUUAAGAUUAGUGUAUUUUCUCUAGGGAAGCUAAUUAUCCAUCAUUUAUGACAUUCCUGGGAGUGUGUAAACUUAUAUUUUUUAUUACCAUAUCAUUUCUGUAUGUUCUCUAUAGUUAUUUACAUGAAAAUGUAUCAAUUGACCAAUUCGGCACAUUUGGGGAGACUUGAUACAACAUUUUGAACACUAAUGCAAUGGUUCAUUUGAUCAGUCUAAAACUUUCCACAUACACUGCUGCCAUCUAGUGGCCAAAAUCUAAAUUGGGCCUAAACUCCUACAUUAUAUAAUGGCCUUUCUCUCCAAUUUCAAAGACGCAAAAUAAAUAAAAAAUUAUUUGUAUUAUAUUUUACCAGAUCUAUUGUAUUAUAGUCUACUACAUUAAUUUCACAUUUCCAAAAACUUUCCUUACAAAUGGUAUAUCCUUGGUUCAGGUCCUGAGCUACAUGCAGUUAGAUUUGGGUAUGUCAUUUUAGGCAAAAAUUUAAAAAAGGGUCCGAUCCUUAAGAGGUUCAAGACUCAUCCCCUGUUCUCUAAAUAUAGAAAUGCUUUACAGAUCCAAUUGUACAAUGACGCUGAUACUGCCAACCCGCUUGGAUUCAAGCGUGGUGUUCACAAGAUAGGCGCCAUUUAUGUUGCCACCCAAGUUUAACUCUGCUGUGAAGAAUAUUAAUUUAGUGUCAACAUUUUCGUUAUCAAGAUCUAAAGAAACAUGGCUUUGAUGCCAUUCUAGAGCCAUUGGUAAAUGAUGUUAAAAAACUGGAGAGUGAUGGUGUAAAUUAGCCUUUUUUCAGCUGAUAGAGAUUAUGGAACUAUCUGCCAAUUAACUGGAUACAAUUUGGGGAUGCAUGCAGUCCUUGUGUUCACAGAGUCCUUCAGUGGUCAUUACUUUUGCCGGUUAUGUUUGAAAGAAAAGUGUAAUGCUCAGACGGUUUGACUGUAAGAUUGUCUUGCGUGAUAAAGAUCAAUUUGAAAUGAAUCAGUUGCAAUCAGACCCACAGUUUCCAUCUGUGUAUGGUGUAAAGAAAAAUGUUAAACAGUUUGCAGCACUUCCAUGUUAGCAGUACUUUUUCUGUGGACAUAAUGAAUGACAUUCUUGAAGGGGUGGCUCAGUUUGAGUUAAAAUUGUUGUUUGAAUAUGUCUCUGAAAAUGUUAUUUUGAAAAGUGCACUUCCCUCUCGAAUCUACUCAUUUGACUAUGAUUACUUGAAGCACAAAAACCGUCCAACUAAAGUCAACCAAGUGAACAGUGGAAAUAGCAGAGCACUUAAUUAUAUUCUAACUCUGUCUUGUGAGAAAUAAUCCCUUGAUUUUGGGUGAUGUGUUCAACCAGGAAAUGAGAACUGGAAUUAGCUGCUAAUUUUGCUGCAAAUAAUCGACAUUGUUUUUUUCCCCUUUUCUUAGCCAGGGCAUGACUGUAUCUGAAGCAUUUGAUAAUUGAACAUCACCCACUUGUCAAACUGUUGAACCCACAUAAAAACGUAAUACUCAAACAUCACUUUAUGAUACAUUACCCAGCAUACAUAAAACAAAUCUGUCCUUUAUUACGUGGAGCAUGAGGUUUGAGGUAAAGCAAAAUAACACCCUCAAAAACUUACAUUACUAAGUCCCUUGCCAAAAAACACAAAUUUGCUAUAGGCCAUCACUGGAAGACAUCACCAUUUCGACAGACUGAGUAUGGACCGAUGAAAGUAUUUUCCCUGAGGGAUUUUACUGGUGGUGAGUUGGCAGCGUCUCUUCAGGUCACUAUGCAGAAAGCCAUUUACUCUACCAGCUGGGUUAAGAUGGAUGGUAUGGUGUACAGAAAAGGACUGAUAGUUUGCAGUAAGAAGGAGCAUGAAAUGCCAGUCUUUUGUAAAAUAACUAAGAUCAUUGUGGAUGACAAUAUUGUAUACCUAUUGCUGGACAAGUUGCAUACUGAUAAUUUCAAUGAACAUUAGCAUGCAUUCACUGUGUUUGAUGGUGUUGAUGACAAUGUUGUUGUUAAAAGAUUAUCUGAAAUGUUAUAAGCCUUUUGUCCUUUAAAGUGCUUAUGGUGCUGAUGAGAGCCUUUAUGUUGUUCCUUUGUUUGACUUGAUUGAGUAAUAGUCAGAUUAUUGGCAACUUUGUCAAGAAAAUGACAUACCUAGUCUUAGAAGGACUUCCACUUGUGUUAAAUGGCAACUCUGCAAAUACUCUUGUUCUCAUGUAGUACAUGGACUGAGGCGCCUGUGAUGCCAAGUUUUCAAUCUGAUGCUCCUGUGAUGCACUGAUUUCAUUUGAAUGUGCCUGUGAUGCACUGAUUUCAUUUUAAUUUGCCUGUGAUGCAAUGAUUUCAUUUUAAUGUGCCUGUGAUGCACCCUUUUCAUUUUAAUGUGCCUGUUAUGCACUGAUUUCACUGUGAUGUGCCUGUGGUGAACUGAUUAAAUUUUAAUGUGCCUGUGAUGCACUGUUUUCACUGAUGCACCCUUUCUUUGUGGCCUAAAUAAAUGAAACAAU